RNAcentral lists this ribosomal RNA (402 nucleotides) under uncultured bacterium. RNAcentral describes it as "partial 16S ribosomal RNA". It matches the Rfam family "Archaeal small subunit ribosomal RNA", at positions 473 to 873 of the family's 1478-position model. The record is from RNAcentral.
AUACCGGCAGCUCAAGUGGUAGCCGCUUUUAUUGGGCCUAAAGCGUCCGUAGCCGGUCUGAUAAGUCUCUGGUGAAAUCCCACAGCUUAACUGUGGGAAUUGCUGGAGAUACUAUCAUGACUCGAGGUCGGGAGAGGCUGGAGGUACUCCCAGGGUAGGGGUGAAAUCCUGUAAUCCUGGGAGGACCACCUGUGGCGAAGGCGUCCAGCUGGAACGAACCUGACGGUGAGGGACGAAAGCCAGGGGCGCGAACCGGAUUAGAUACCCGGGUAGUCCUGGCCGUAAACGAUGUGGACUUGGUGUUGGGAUGGCUUCGAGCUGCCCCAGUGCCGAAGGGAAGCUGUUAAGUCCACCGCCUGGGAAGUACGGCCGCAAGGCUGAAACUUAAAGGAAUUGACGGGG